Long non-coding RNA from Myodes glareolus (Bank vole), 283 nucleotides. RefSeq lists it as uncharacterized. The record is from RefSeq and is a predicted model, not a curated record. Lineage: Eukaryota; Metazoa; Chordata; Mammalia; Rodentia; Cricetidae.
GCCAGAGAAGAAGGAUUGGGUCUCUUGGAAACUUCUGCCUAACAGGACUUUGCUAGCCAAUGACGCAGGUCGGAUGUUUGCUGAGGUUCUGGAUCACACAGUGGACCAUGGGACUGAUCUUUGAACAGUCAGGAAGCAGGCGUGAUUCACCUGAGUUACUCAUUCGCCUUCCAGCAAACAGCUUGCAUCAUCUUCAUGCUGUGCCCACUAGAAGAUUUUCUUCUUCCGGUCGUUUGUGAUGGUUUCCAAAGUUUACUAAAAUGGUACCAGUUACCCUUCUUGU